UCAACAAGACGAAGUUUGUACAAUGUUUUACUUUUAGUCUUUUUUUAUUUUUGUUUUUAUUUUCUUAAUAAUCAUAGUGCUACAAAGGUAUUUUAUGUUUGUGUAUGCGCAACUCAUGACCAGUGUUGACACUGUUUGAUCCAGAAAUUGAAAGAACUGCAUGUACUAAUAUGAGAGCAGUCAGGGAAUAAAAUAUAGCUCAACGGAUCUUAGUUGAAGAUCAACCACUAAUUUCUUCUGACUCUGAAGAAGAAACCAUCAUGGCAGUUGUACCACCCCAAACUAUCGGGGAUUAAUGUAAAAGAACCAAUGAAGGACAUAUUUCGA
RNAcentral lists this long non-coding RNA (327 nucleotides) under Lathyrus oleraceus (garden pea). RNAcentral describes it as "Pisum sativum (pea) long non-coding RNA (PSAT_LNC007978)". Lineage: Eukaryota; Viridiplantae; Streptophyta; Magnoliopsida; Fabales; Fabaceae. The record is from RNAcentral.